Non-coding RNA from Mycena leptocephala, 95 nucleotides. Lineage: Eukaryota; Fungi; Basidiomycota; Agaricomycetes; Agaricales; Mycenaceae. The record is from the annotation of a GenBank genome assembly.
GGCCCGGUAGCGGAUGGUCCGCACCUGCUCUCUUUAUACUGAAGGUAUAAAUCACCAUCAUGCAGGGAACGCUCGUUCGACUCGAGCCCGGGCCA